RNAcentral lists this ribosomal RNA (253 nucleotides) under uncultured bacterium. Its description in RNAcentral is "partial 16S ribosomal RNA". It matches the Rfam family "Bacterial small subunit ribosomal RNA", at positions 524 to 776 of the family's 1533-position model. The record is from RNAcentral.
UACGUAGGGGGCAAGCGUUGUCCGGAUUUAUUGGGCGUAAAGCGCGCGUAGGUGGCCUCAUAAGUCCGCUGUGAAAGUCAAAGGCUCAACCUUUGAAAGCCGGUGGAUACUGUGAGGCUAGAGUACGGAAGAGGCGAGUGGAAUUCCUGGUGUAGCGGUGGAAUGCGCAGAUAUCAGGAGGAACACCAAUAGCGAAGGCAGCUCGCUGGGACGUUACUGACACUGAGGCGCGAAAGCGUGGGGAGCGAACAGG